RNAcentral lists this ribosomal RNA (254 nucleotides) under uncultured bacterium. RNAcentral describes it as "partial 16S ribosomal RNA". It matches the Rfam family "Bacterial small subunit ribosomal RNA", at positions 524 to 776 of the family's 1533-position model. The record is from RNAcentral.
UACAGAGGUGGCAAGCGUUGUUCGGAAUUACUGGGCGUAAAGGGCGCGUAGACGGUCUUCUAAGUCUUGUGUGAAAUCCCUCGGCUCAACUGAGGAACUGCACGGGAUACUGGAAGACUUGAGUUCGGGAGAGGGAAGCGGAAUUCCGGGUGUAGCGGUGAAAUGCGUAGAUAUCCGGAGGAACACCGGUGGCGAAGGCGGCUUCCUGGACCGAUUACUGACGCUGAGGCGCGAAAGCUAGGGGAGCAAACGGG